Homo sapiens (human) is the source of this 9052-nucleotide long non-coding RNA. RefSeq lists it as uncharacterized. Lineage: Eukaryota; Metazoa; Chordata; Mammalia; Primates; Hominidae. The transcript has 2 exons. The record is from RefSeq and is a predicted model, not a curated record.
GCCUCCAUGUAUUAAACUAAUAUGUGUAAUAAGAAUAAUCCGGGGGAGGAGCCAAGAUGGCCGAAUAGGAACAGCUCCGGUCUACAGCUCCCAGCGUGAGCGACGCAGAAGACGGGUGAUUUCUGCAUUUCCAUCUGAGUCACAUCCUGCUCAUUUUGACAAACGCAGAGUCAUGUACCCAUCACUACAAUCAAGUUACAGACCAUCUCCAUAACUCCAAAGAAUUCCCACACACUCCAUUGUAGCCCCACGGACAACCACCAGUCUGUGUUCUCUUCUGGUAGUUUUGCCUUUUUGAGACAGUCACAUAAAAUGGAACCACUUAGUAUAUAGCAUUUUGAGUUUGGUUGUUUUCACUUAACAUAAUAUAUUAAAGAUUUAUCCAUGUUGUUGCAUGUAUCAGUGGCUUAUUUCUUUUUCUUGCUAAAUAGUAUUACUUUGUAAGGAUGUAUACAAAUUGUUUAUCCAUUUACUUGCUGAUGAACAUACAGACUGUUUUCAGUUUUUGACAAUUCCAAAAAAGUCACUUUACAAAUAUUCAUACACAAGACUUUAUGUAAUAUGUUUUCAUUUCCCUUGGAUAGGAGUGAGACUGUUGGGUUGUAUGGUAAGUGGAUGUUUAACUUUAUGAAAAUCUUUCAAACUGUUUUAAAGAGUUAUUGUACCAUUUUGCAUUUUCACCAGCAAUGUAAGAGAAAUUUAGUUCCUCCUCUUCUUCAACAGUAUUUGAUACUGUCAUUAAAAAAAAUUUAGCUACUCUAAUAGACAUUUUGUAGUAUCUAGUUGUGAUAUUAAUCUUUACUCCUCUGAUGACUAGUGAUGUCAGGCAUCUUUUUAUGUGUUUAAUUGUCAUAUGUGUAUCUUUUCUGGUGAUGGAUUUGGUAAAAUAUUUGGCCAAAAAUUUUGAGGGGGAAUUUCUUGUCUUAUUAUUAUUGCAUUGUCUGAAAUUUUAAAAUUUAUUCUGUAUUCCAGUUCUCUUUCUGAUAGGUUUCCUGCAAAUAUUUUCUGUUAAUGUGUGGCUUGUCUUUUCAUUUUCCAAACAACAUUUUUGAAUGUAUUUAUUCACAACUUUAAAAUUUUGAUUAAGACAAUUUUGAUUAAAAACCAUUUAAAAGUAUCUUUCUUUUCUGAAUCACACUCUAAUUUUUUAUAUUAGAAGUCCAUAUCAUUUCUAUGCAAUUUCUAUGAAACAUACAUGAGGACUUACUGCCUUUUAAAUAAAUAUUCUUACAGAAUAUUUCAGAGUAAGUAAUAUUUUAUCUGAUGAACUUCUUCAAACAAUGAUUAGCACACACUUGGUCUACAAAUGCUACAUUUUGGUCUCAUUUUAAUUACUACCAUUAUUUGAUCUUUCCCAUCUCUCAAGUGAAGAAUGCCUCUCUCCCUGAAAUCAUCUGCCUUCAUUGGUAUUCAGGAGAUGUCCUGGAAAGAUAUUAUCACUUUAGGCAAGCAAUUACAUCUUAUUCUCUCUUGGCUAACCCUGGUAGCACACUUUAGUGAUAUUCAGAAUCACAGAAAAUCAAGUCAUUGCUAUUCUACUCUAAGCUUCUAUCCAGUAUAUGCCUGCCACAUUCGCAGCAUAAUUCAUAUUGGACAUAUUUAUGGCAAUGGUAUCCAUGAAUUUAAAACAAAUAAAAAUAAAAAUAAAUUUCUUACAGUUUUGUACCCAUAGCCAUUGUGUGAAUGAUUAAAAAAGAAAAAAGGAAAAGGACUAAAAUACUAAAGGGACAAUGUGGGAAUGAUUUUUUAAAAAGAGAGAAGGAAAAGUACUAAAGAGAGAAAUCAGAAAAAUUACAUAUGGAAAUCAACUUGAAUCAUGUUUCAGGGUGGAUAUUUCAAAAAUGAAAAAUGUGGCACCACGUGAAAAGAGAACUGGUUUGAAAUAAAAUAAGAAAACACAACAGACUGGACCUAGUUUUCAAAGCCCAAACCUAUAAAGGUAAACUGAAUUAUGACUGAGUUUAGGAUCUAGCAAAUCCUGGAUCUAUUUCUAUUACCAAAAAAAAGAAAAAUCAAACCUUUGAAUUGUCAGAUUAAUACUGUCCUCCAAAAAAUGAACAAAUAUAGAUAUUCCCCGAUCUUUAGUGUGUUUUAGUUACAUGUGAGAUCACAUAUAUUAAUCCCUCAGGUGAUUAUCAUCUUUAUCCUUAGGGCAGACAAGACAGACAUUAUUAUUCCCAUUUUAUAGUUAAGGAAACUGAAGUUGAGGGAGAUAGUUAAUAAAUGGAAAGAUAACUAGAUUUAAAGUUAGGAGACCUGGGUUUGAAUAUAGACUGCCUCUUCCAAGCUUUGUGGUUACAGAAAAUUCACAUUCUUAAAAUGAUUGAGACAAAAAAGGAACUCAUAGGGCCUAAGGCUAAAUGGGGGAACCAGAAUGAGGAAUCCUCAUCUAAGGAACAUUUUGUACUAGACAGCAUUGCUUCUCUAAGUCCAUCUCAACUUUAAAACGAAAAAAGUAGUUUCAUAAAACCAUGAAGUAACAUUACAAAAUUUCUAACAUAGUGUGGGAAAAUAGAAUUUAAAAGUUAUUACACAUAUUAUUGCUUAUUUCAUACUGUAUAUAAAAUUAUGUUUAUGGGAAAAAAACAGAAGUGGUUAUCUCAGAUGAGGGAAGUAAGAUUAAGGAAGAAAGUGGGCUGAGGAAAAUAAUUGUUAUUAGGGUGGUUAUACAAAUGAUUUAAGUAAGACUUUAAUUUUGCUAUAUUUUUUGUUUGUUUUUGUUUUGAGAUGGAGUUUCACUCUUGUUGCCCACACUGGAGUGCAAUGGUGCAAUCUAGGCUCACCGCAACCUCCACCUCCUGGUUCAAGCGAUUCUCCUGCCUCAGCUUCCUGAGUAGCUGGGACUGCAGGCAUGCGCCACCACGCCCGGCUAAUUUUGUAUUUUUAGUAGAGACAGGGUUUCUCCAUGUUGGCCAGGCUGGUCUCAAACUCCCAACCUCAGGUGAUCUGCCUGCCUCGGCCUAUCAAAGUGCUGGGAUUACAGGUGUGAGCCACCACACCCGGCCACUAUAUUGUUUUUAUAAUAAAAAUAGUACAUAGGAAUUCCUUUACUAAUUCAAGAACUGUUUACUACUGAGUAUAUACUAUAACCUGCAUUAUUUAUUGUAUAACUAGAAUACUAAAGACUAACUCCAAAAAAACAUCUGCUUGCUUGUAUAUUCAGCAAACAAAUACUGAAUGUCUACUGGGUAACCUAACUAGGUACAUUCUAGGGAAUGAGAAUAUACUGAAGAACUACUAAGGGCCAAGUCUAAAAGAGGAGAGAGAAUUUAGUCAAAAACACAAUGUAUAGGUACAGUUCUGGAACUGUGCAUAGAAAAGGAAUCAAUAAGCCAGGAGGGGAAAUAGCCAGGAAAAUCUUCCUGAAGGAGGUACUACUUGAGCUGAAUCAUGAAAGGACUUGAGUUAAACAAGUUUAUGGGGCAGAGAGAACCAUUUCAAGCAGAAUAGAAACCAUUCAUUCAAUAAAGAGUACCUGCACAUGCCAGAUAUUAUUCUAGGUACCAGGUACACAACAGUGAAUCUUAUUUACUAAUGGUCAGACAAAUUUCCUGCCUCAGUAAAGCCUCCUAUUUCGUAGGGGUAGACAAUGAUCAGAUAUAUAAGUAAAGAUGAUGAUUUCACACAGUGAAAAAUACCAUGAAGAAAACAGAACAGGAUGAUAAGACAAAAUUCCUUCAGACAGUAUUCAGGCAGAAACAGCGUUCAGGCAGAGAAGGUUUCUUAAGUUGGGACUUGGGUACUGACAAGGAACCAGCCACAUUUUCAUGUGAAGGUGGAGAAAGAGUAUAUGUAAUAAUAAAAUUUCUAGUAACCAUAUUCAAAAAGGUGGAAACAGGUAAAAUUAAUAAUAUAUUUUAUGUAAUCUAUACCUAAAAUGUUAUCACUUUUACAUUUAAUAUAUAGUCAAAAUAAAAUUGAUAUCCUUCACAGUUUUUUGUUUCAAACUAAGUCUUCAAGAUCCAGUUUGUAUGUUAUACUUACGGCACAUUUCGAUUUAGAUUAGGCACACUUCAAAUGCUCAACAGACUGAUGUAGCUGGUAGUUAAAUUAUGCAACAGUGCAGCUCUAGGUAUCUUUGGGGAGAUGAGUUUGAGGUGUAAAGAUUGAAAGCAGUGUAUUAAUAUGGCUGUGGCAACAGCCCAGUGAGAAACAAUGAGGACUAGAAUUGAGUAUAAGUUUAAGGAACAGAGAGGUAAGGCAAAAAUUAAGAAAUACUUGGGAACUAAAAUUGGCAGGACUUGGUAAAUUUUGAAGGUGAGAUGAAGGAUACAGUCAAAAAUAACUCCUAGUUUUUAACCUGGGUGAGUGGCAUGGUGCCAUAAACUAGGUUAGAGAACAUGGGGCUUGAAGCAUGCUUAGGAAAAAAAAUGAGUUUAUUUUUUGACGUGUUGACUUUAAGGUACUUACGAAACAUCGAGGUGGAGGAAGCCCAGAAAACAACUGGAAAAAACUAAAAAGCUUCAGAUACAGACUGGGGAGUCACACAGACAGUGGUUGCAACCAUCAAAAUAAUUUAGAAGCUCUUUCUAUGAAAAGGACAGGCUACAAUGAGAGAUAAGUCUUCCAUCUAUAAGGGGAAUCACACUGUGUUUGACUACACUUGGUUGAGUUUAUUUCCAGUUUUUUUUUUUAAUACCAAAGACUCAAAGAGAUGAGAACUCUCUGAAAUGUUACAGAGCUUCUCUUUAUCUCUUAAAAAAUUUAAAUUCUAAUUCUAUGUUUGUUUACAUUUCAAGGUUUCUAAAUAUGUGUUAAUUACUAUAGAGUUAUUGUGGUUAUAGGAAUGGAGACAGUAAGAAUAAGAAUAGAUAGAUUACUGUUUUGAGAUGCAGGAUAGAGAAAAGGAAAAAAGACUAGACCAGAUGGCUUAAUGAGGUAAGGGAAAUCUUUUUAGAGUAGGGGACUCUUAAGCAUGUACAUAGGCUAGAAGGAAGGAGCCAGUAAUGACAAACAGUUUGAAGAUUUGGGAAAAACAAGGGACAACUGCCAGAGCUAGAUCCUGGGACAAGGGGAAAUGAGAGCAGUGCACAGGAGGAAGGACACCUUGUUACUUUAGACUGGGGAAAAUACAGUAAAAAGGGGUUUAGAUUAAAUAAGCAUGUAGGGAGAAGGUAGCUGAAGGAAAAUGAUUCCUGAUAGCCUCAAUUUUCUUAAGCUAGUAGGAGACAAGGUGGUCUGUAAGAAUAAAGAGGAAAAGGCUGAGUUAGGAGCUGAGAAAAGCAAUGAAAGUUAUAGUAAAACCGUCCCCCCUCCCCCCACUUUUUUUUUUUUUUUGAGACACAGUCUCACUCUGUCGCCAGGCUGGAGAGCAGUGGCAUGAUCUCGGCUCAUUGCAACCUCUACCUCCUGGGUUAAGUGAUUCUUCUGCCUCAGCCUCCCAAAUAGCUGGGACUACAGGCACACACCACCACACCCGGCUAAUUUUUGUAUUUUUAGUAGAGACGAGGUUUCACCAUGUUGGCCAGGCUGGUCUCGAUCUCCUGACCUCAUAAUCUGCCCUCCUGGGCCUCCCAAAGUGCUGGGAUUACAGGUGUGAGCCACUGUGCCCAGCUGUAAAAACCCCUUUUCAAGUUAACAUUUUUGAGAUAAAAAAUUUAAUAAUAUGUUAACAAAGGACAAAAUACAUUAAAGUUUAGAAAAAAGUUAAUCUCUCCUUCCUAUGACAUUCUUUUCACAAAACAUUUUGCUUGUGCUUAUACUGUCUUUCAUUCUGUAUAUACACAAUUUUUUUCUUUCCUGUAAUAUUGUAUUCUAUCUAGCAUUGUGAAAAGAAUUUAACUUUAGAGUAGAGCAAAUUGAAUAUAUAUUUGUCUUUUCCAUUAAAUUGUAAUGUCUUUCACAGAAAGAUCUCACAUCAGCAUUUUUCUAGGGCCCAUGUACCAUGCUGGACAUAGUAGGGGCUUAAUUAAUAUUUGCCAAACUGAAUUGAGGCUAUGUUUCACUCAUUUUUGUAUUUUCUGCACAAUGCUUUACCUUCCAACAAAUACUUGGGAAAGGCAACAUAGUCUCUGGGCAGCCUACACAUAUAAUGUGUCCCUGAAAACACCUAUUAAGUUUGUAGCUCCUAGGCCCUCCAGGCAAAAUGAAAUGGACAGCUGUGGCAAACAGAAAACUUUAAAACCAGAUUCUAAGGCUUUGACAAAGGCAGGAGGUCAGUCACACCUCCACAUUCCCUUAUCUCAUUAUCAGCCGCCAAGACUUUCUUUCCUAUAAUUAAACAGAAACCAGUCCCUAAAAACAAUGUGUGCAAGAUUUCUUCCCCAACCUCAACAGACCAUCUGACACUGUGGCCAAACUCCCCUCCCUUAUCGUGCUUUUGCCACGAUAGGUGACUAGCCUUACAAAGCAUUCCUUUUUGAUAAAUGACUGCUGAUCACAGACUCGUUCUGGCUGGUCCACAGAGACUGAGCACAAGAUGCCUCUGUGCUCUGCUCUGUGUUUCACCUUUUGACACAAAGAGCCGAAUUUCACUUCACUUUAAUGUUAACUGCCUACUCCGAAGUGAACAUGGGACAUAUGUAACAUAUAUGUUUACUCACCACACAUUUGGUUUCCCUCAUAAAUAUUCAUAAAUUCUCCUAUAACCUGCUAAAUAUGUAUGCGGAGCUAACCCCACUGGGGAUAAAUUCCAACCUCUCCCCUUUGUAACUGAAGCCUAUGUAUUUGGUUUUGGCUGGAAGCUUAGUUUCCUGACCUGCAGAUUGUAAUCCUUUACAGGAAAUAAAGCUUUCCUUUUGCUUCCUCUGCCAAUCUCAUGGUCUUUUGUUAAUAAGUUGAAUGUGAAAAAGUUAAGCAACAGACUUAUAUGAGGAUAAGUUCCUGAGAGCUAAAAAUAGAUAAAGCAAAACCCCUAUUAAACUUUCCUUGCCUUUUAGAUACAACCUUUAACGGCAUUGUUCUAACAUUUUGUAGACAUCAUUUUUUUCCUUUACAACAAAACACAGCUGCUUUUAAUUCAAUGAGUGUCACAAUGAUGUUUAAAAGUUGCUGCUUUCUGCAUGCCUAAUGAUUCCUAUAGCUGUUUUAACUGUAUUACACUUAUGAGACAUUAAAAAAAUUGUGUGUAAUAUCACCACAGAUAAUUCCCACUGAUUUCAAGAAAAACGAACAAAAUACAACAAAAUACAAAAAAAAAAAAAAAAAAACCACAUGAAUGCACUAUUAUUUGUGCCACAGAAGGUAAGGCUGCCAAAGCUCUCAGUUAGCAGCUAGCAAUACCAUGCAAAAGCAGGAAAUGUUCUCAAUCCAAAGGAUAAUUAAGAGGUAGGGUGUGUGUGUGUGUGUGUGUGUGUGUGUGUGUGUGUGUGUGUCUAUAGUCUAAUAACAAAAUACCCAAACUGUCCAGUUUUCAAUUAAAAAAAUCACUAGUCAUACAAAGAACAAGGAAGAUCUCAAACUUAAUGAAAAGACAAUCAAAGAUGUCAAAACUGAGAUGAUAGAGAUGUUGGAAUUACUGGACAAAGAUCUCACAGCAGCUAUGAUAAAAAUGCCUUAGCAAAGAAACAGUCUCACCAAAGAUACAGGAAACACAAAGAAGAACCAAAUAGAAAUAUUAGAAGCCAAAAAUACAAUAACUGAAAUAAAACUCACUGUUAACAGAAUAAUAGAAGGGACAGAGGAAAGAACUGGCAACUGAAAGAUAGAAUAGAAAUUUCCUAACCUGAACAAGAAAGAAAAUAGGUUGAAUUUAAAAAAUGAAAAGAAGCCAGGCGCAGUGGCAGUGGCUCAUGCCUAUAAUCCCAGUAAUUUGGGAGGCCGAGGCGGGUGGAAAACUUGAGGUCAGGAGUUCAAGACCAGCUUGGCUAACGUGGCGAAUACCCGUCUCUCCUAAAAAUACAAAAAUUAACUGGGCUUGGUGUGCGCCUGUAAUUCCAGCUACUUGGGAGGCUGAGGCAUGAGAAGUGCUUGAACCCAACGGGUGGAGGCUGCAGUAAGCUGAGAUUGCACCAUUGCAAUCUGUGGGGGAUACAUUCCAAAACCCCCAGUUGGUGCCUGAAACCAUGGAUAGUACUGCUAUGAUAAAGUUUAAUCUAUAAAUUAAGCACAGCAAGAGACUAGCAAUAAUAAUAAAGCAGAACAAUCAUAAUAUACUGUAAUAAGUUAUGUGGAAGGCUGGACGUGGUGGCUCACGCCUGUAAUCCCAACAUUUUGGGAGGCCGAAGUGAGAGGAUUGCUUCAGUCCAGGAGUUGGAGACCUCACCUUUACAAAAAAUAAACAAAAUUAAACCAGUGUGGUGGCGCACACCUGUAGUCCUAGCUACUCAGGAGGCUGAGGUGAGAGGGCUGCAUGAGCCCAAGAGGUCAAGGCUGCAGUGAGCUGAGAUUACACCAUUGCACUCCUGCCUGGGUGACAGAGUGAGACCCUGUCUCAAAAAACAAAACGAAAACCAUAAGAGUUAUGUGACUGUGGUCUCUUUCUCUCUCAAAAUAGCAUAAAGUUUUCAGACUGUGGUUGACCACCGAUAAGUAAAACUGCAGAAAGUGAAGGUAUGGAUAGGGUCGGGGGAAUACUGUGCAAAAAAGGCAACAGGGGGGAUCCUUGUGGUGAUGGAAAUGUUCUGUAUCUUGACUGUAUGAAUGUCAAUAUUCUGGCUGUGAUAUUAUACUAUGUUUGUAAAGUGUUACCACUGGGGAAACUAUGCAAAGGGUAUAUGGGAUCUCUCUGCAUUACUUCUUGCCAUGCAUGUGAUUCUACAAUUAUCUCAAAACAAAAUGUUUAAUUAAAAAAAAACCACAGAACUUGACUGUUCCUCAAAACCUUCACUGAGUUAACCACUUCCUCUUUGAAACCACCUUAUACCCUAUACAAUACUGAUAAUAUAGUAUUAUUGCACUUCCAUGUUCUAUUGUAAUUAGUCUAUUUCCCUUACCAAACCGUGAGCUCCAAGAGGAGGUUUUAAAGGCAAGAUAUGUUUUGUUCAUCUAUGUAUGCCUAGCAUCUAGUAGUGCCUGAUACAUUGAAGAUGUUUUGUAAAUGUUUGUUGAAUAAAACUGGAUGUGACUGAUGUAAUCAAGAAAGUAAUUUCAUUAUUAAACUAUUUAUAUUCAA